GUUUCCGUAGCUCAGCAGAGAGAGCGGCUGUUUACGAAGCAGCAGGCCGCAGGUGCAAAUCCUGCCGGGGACA
Molecule: transfer RNA, 73 nt
Filed under: Verrucomicrobiales bacterium
Lineage: Bacteria; Pseudomonadati; Verrucomicrobiota; Verrucomicrobiia; Verrucomicrobiales
Description: tRNA-Arg
Rfam family: tRNA
About the family: Transfer RNA (tRNA) molecules are approximately 80 nucleotides in length. Their secondary structure includes four short double-helical elements and three loops (D, anti-codon, and T loops). Further hydrogen bonds mediate the characteristic L-shaped molecular structure. tRNAs have two regions of fundamental functional importance: the anti-codon, which is responsible for specific mRNA codon recognition, and the 3' end, to which the tRNAs corresponding amino acid is attached (by aminoacyl-tRNA synthetases). tRNAs cope with the degeneracy of the genetic code in two manners: having more than one tRNA (with a specific anti-codon) for a particular amino acid; and 'wobble' base-pairing, i.e. permitting non-standard base-pairing at the 3rd anti-codon position.
Source: RNAcentral